Molecule: long non-coding RNA, 304 nt
Filed under: Homo sapiens (human)
Lineage: Eukaryota; Metazoa; Chordata; Mammalia; Primates; Hominidae
Description: non-protein coding lnc-PLEKHB2-2:1
Source: RNAcentral
AAAAAAAUGCUAAAAAAUAAGGCAUAAAUCUGCAUAAUAUUCAGUUUUAUUUCCAUUCUCUCCUUUCCCUCUACUAUGUAUGCUUUACCUGAUCUGCCUCUAGGGGCUUACAAGAAAAUGGUUUCCGGUUUCCAUCUUCAAUUUGACCUCAAAUGUCCUGAGCAAAGUUUUUGCUCUUCUGCUGAGGGUUCUUUUGUUGGUAAGCUUUAGAUAUCGUUAUUUCUGCUAAUUCAGUAGUUUUGAUCGUAGUGCCAAAUUUAAAUUCUUCCACUGGUUCUUCUGUAAGGAAUUAAACUUUUAUGGU